GCAAAGACUUGGAACGGGAAGAGUAGGCAGCGUACCCUUCAGAGAGCGGAAUCCACGGCUGAGAGAUUCUGCAGGACAUGUAGCUCACCGAAGUCGCCCGGGAGUUGUCCGUUUGAGCAGCAUAUCAUAUGGGGUUAGAACGGACCGGCAGCAGCCGUUAUCUGCAUGAGAGUCGCAUUUCUUGCACCGGAUGGUGAAUGAACCGGAUGCCAUUGAUGCGAAACAAAGGUGGUACCGCGAAAGUAAAGCCUUUCGUCCUUUGA
Molecule: non-coding RNA, 263 nt
Filed under: Paenibacillus sp.
Lineage: Bacteria; Bacillati; Bacillota; Bacilli; Caryophanales; Paenibacillaceae
Description: T-box sequence
Rfam family: T-box leader
About the family: Uncharged tRNA acts as the effector for transcription antitermination of genes in the T-box leader family. T-boxes are found upstream of many aminoacyl-tRNA synthetase genes and some amino acid biosynthetic genes usually in Gram-positive bacteria.
Source: RNAcentral